RNAcentral lists this ribosomal RNA (633 nucleotides) under uncultured fungus. RNAcentral describes it as "eukaryotic LSU rRNA". It matches the Rfam family "Eukaryotic large subunit ribosomal RNA", at positions 24 to 664 of the family's 3401-position model. The record is from RNAcentral. Lineage: Eukaryota; Fungi.
CCCGCUGAACUUAAGCAUAUCAGUAAGCGGAGGAAAAGAAACUAACAAGGAUUCCCUUAGUAACGGCGAGUGAAACGGGAAGAGCUCAAAUUUAAAAUCUGGCAUCUUUUGGGUGUCCGAAUUGUGAUUGAGAGGGUCUUCUUUUGAUGAAGGUGAUGGCCAAAGUUCUCUGGAAAGGGACAACAAAGAGGGUGACAUUCCCGUCUGGGUCAUUACCGGAGUCAGGAUAAAGGGGGCUCUAAGAGUCGGAUUGUUUGGGAAUGCAGUCCAAAAUGGGUGGUACAUUUCAUCUAAAGCUAAAUAUAUGCAAGAGACCGAUAGCGAACAAGUACCGUGAGGGAAAGAUGAAAAGAACUUUGAAAAGAGAGUUAAAUAGUACGUGAAAUUGUUAAAAGGGAAACGAUUGAGACCAGUGAUGUGGCAGGUCCUUGAGCACACCUUUCGGGGUGUGUGUUUGGGCUUGUCGCGAGUCGACGCUUCUUUUGUGCCUUGGAGAAGACGAGGGGAAAGGUGGCUCCGCCUUCGGGUGGCUGCUUUAUAGUCCCCUUGGGAUACCAGGUGCGGGAGAAGACAUGUAGGGUCGCAAGGCUCACGUCGACGAAAUGGUCUUAAACGACCCGUCUUGAAACACGG